CAUCAGUUUUCCUUGUGGUUAUCUUCAACACUAAAUAAAGUCUAAUGUCACCUGAGUCGUGUUUUGACACACUGGUUUCAGUUGAGAGGCAUCAAAGUGCUUGAUUAAAUAGAAGCUCUCCUGUUGCUUCCCAAGAUGGAUAUGGAGUAUGUGAUAAAUGGCCAAUAGCUUGCCUGACAUUGUCCAAAGGCUGUAAACACUAACUGAAUCCCCAUUCUCACCUGCUGCCAGUUACUGCUUCCUGCUCUCUCCUUGUCUUACUGAUGUCGUUUUGCAAACCAUUUUGGAACACCUUAAAUUUGAGAUGGCAGCAAAGGGGCAAUUUGACAAAAAGAUGUCUGAAG
RNAcentral lists this long non-coding RNA (344 nucleotides) under Gallus gallus (chicken). The record is from RNAcentral. Lineage: Eukaryota; Metazoa; Chordata; Aves; Galliformes; Phasianidae.